Long non-coding RNA from Dermochelys coriacea (leatherback sea turtle), 880 nucleotides. RefSeq lists it as uncharacterized. Lineage: Eukaryota; Metazoa; Chordata; Testudines; Dermochelyidae. The record is from RefSeq and is a predicted model, not a curated record. The transcript is spliced from 2 exons.
GCAUCCUUUAAAAAGUGGAAGUUAAAUCCUAGUGAGGAAAAUAAAAAGGAGCAUAAACUCUGGCAACUGAAGUGUAAAAAUAUAAUUAGUAAGGCCAAAAAAGAAUUUGAAGAACAGCUAGCUAAAGACUCAGAAAGUAACAGUUAAAUUGUUUAAGAAUAUCAGAAGCAGUAAGUCUGGUAAACAACCAGUGGGGCCACUGUUUUUGGGGAGAUUUUGGCAAACCGGUAAAGUGCCUAAACCACUAUCACUUGUUGCUAACAGUAGUCAAGUUAGCAGGCUAUACUGAACCAUUCUUGCUUAUUGCUAAAAGUUGCCAAGUCAGCAGGUCGUAAAUUGGUCAUGCAAAGGCCUCAGUGUAACCAAGAUAGGGGGGGAGGGAGUCUUGGGUGCCACAGACAGGACAGCUUGACCCCACGCCCUUCCUGCUAAGAGUGUUGAAAUUGCUGAUGCAUGUAUUUUAGAAAAACAAGAAGUCUGUUUAUAGUGCCCCCGGGAAUGUUUGUCAGGGCCCAAAGGCAUGGACACUCUGAAAAAAAAAAUCUCUGGCUAAUUGAUUUUCAUAAGAUGUUUGACCUUUUAACCCUGCUUGCUUAGCAAGUUUUCUUUAAGGGAUAUGUCAUUGUAUUACUAAUGUAUAAAUAAGGGGGAAAAGUUUGAGGUAAUUGGACUUCUCAGGAGGGGCUCUUCAGGGACGCUCCCUCUGGACGCAUCUUGGUCCCCCCCUGCAGAUGGAAACCUGGCCAGUAGAAGCCUGUUACAGUGCCACCUGAAAGCCACGCUCAGCUUCAGUAAUUAUCGAGGGUCGGAGGUGUUUUACUAACCUGCUGCAGACGUGUGUAAGUGCUUGAGAUUAAGUAAAGUUUAGCUUUAAGUGAAA